UACGUAGGGGGCUAGCGUUGUCCGGAAUCAUUGGGCGUAAAGAGCGUGUAGGCGGCCUGUCAAGUCCGCUGUGAAAACUCGAGGCUCAACUUCGAGCUGUCGGUGGAAACUUUCUGGCUAGAGUCCGGAAGAGGAGAAUGGAAUUCCUGGUGUAGCGGUGAAAUGCGCAGAUAUCAGGAGGAACACCAACGGCGAAGGCAGCUCGCUGGGACGGUACUGACGCUGAGGCGCGAAAGCGUGGGGAGCGAACAGG
This 253-nucleotide ribosomal RNA is filed under the name uncultured bacterium. RNAcentral's name for it is "partial 16S ribosomal RNA". It matches the Rfam family "Bacterial small subunit ribosomal RNA", at positions 524 to 776 of the family's 1533-position model. The record is from RNAcentral.